UACGAAGGGGGGCUAGCGUUGCUCGGAAUCACUGGGCGUAAAGCGCACGUAGGCGGAUCUUUAAGUCAGGGGGUGAAAUCCCAAGGCUCAACCUUGGAACUGCCUUUGAUACUGGGGAUCUCGAGUCCGGAAGAGGUGAGUGGAACUGCGAGUGUAGAGGUGAAAUUCGUAGAUAUUCGCAAGAACACCAGUGGCGAAGGCGGCUCACUGGUCCGGUACUGACGCUGAGGUGCGAAAGCGUGGGGAUCAAACAGGG
Molecule: ribosomal RNA, 256 nt
Filed under: uncultured bacterium
Lineage: Bacteria
Description: partial 16S ribosomal RNA
Rfam family: Bacterial small subunit ribosomal RNA
Source: RNAcentral